CAAUAGCGUAUAUUAAAGUUGUUGCGGUUAAAAGCUCGUAGUUGGAUUUCUGUUGAGGACGACCGGUCCGCCCUCUGGGUGAGUAUCUGGCUCGGCCUUGGCAUCUUCUUGGAGAACGUAACUGCACUUGACUGUGUGGUGCGGUAUCCAGGACUUUUACUUUGAGGAAAUUAGAGUGUUUCAAGCAGGCGUACGCCUUGAAUACAUUAGCAUGGAAUAAUGAGAUAGGACCUUGGUUCUAUUUUGUUGGUUUGCGUUACAAAGUAAUGAUUAAUAGGGACAGUUGGGGGUAUUCGUAUUUCGUUGUCAGAGGUGAAAUUCUUGGAUUUCCGAAAGACGAACUACUGCGAAAGCAUUUACCAAGGAUGUUUUCAUUAAUCAAGAACGAAAGUUAGGGGAUCGAAGACGAUUAGAUACCAU
Molecule: ribosomal RNA, 420 nt
Filed under: uncultured eukaryote
Lineage: Eukaryota
Description: SSU rRNA
Rfam family: Eukaryotic small subunit ribosomal RNA
Source: RNAcentral